Long non-coding RNA from Paramisgurnus dabryanus, 370 nucleotides. RefSeq lists it as uncharacterized. Lineage: Eukaryota; Metazoa; Chordata; Actinopteri; Cypriniformes; Cobitidae. The record is from RefSeq and is a predicted model, not a curated record.
AGAAGACACACUUGAGCAGUAUGAUGAUGUCAUCACCACAGGACAAAACUCUGAUCUUCAAAAAGACAAUUAUGAUGUCAUCAUCAAUAGGCAGAACUUUCAAGGAGUUAUAGAGGGAGUUCAGGAGGUGUAUGACAAUGUGAAGAAUGACGGUGAAGAUGUGACAAACGUCUUGGUCUACGCCGAUGUGGUGGAGGAGUCUGUAUGACUCAAUGACCACAACCACUGCCUCAUGAAAUCAUUUUACAGCUUCAGGAGCUUCAAGGAGUUUAAGUGAUUAAAAUUUUGCUACUAAAACUUCGGUGCCUUAUGGUCUUUUUUGUUCUUGGAAAAUAUUUUUCUACUUAAAAUUAUUUUGCAAAUAAGAAUA